RNAcentral lists this ribosomal RNA (253 nucleotides) under uncultured bacterium. RNAcentral's name for it is "partial 16S ribosomal RNA". It matches the Rfam family "Bacterial small subunit ribosomal RNA", at positions 524 to 776 of the family's 1533-position model. The record is from RNAcentral.
UACGUAGGGGGCGAGCGUUGUCCGGAAUCAUUGGGCGUAAAGCGCGUGUAGGCGGCUCGGUAAGUUUGCUGUGAAAGUCCAGGGCUCAACCCUGGGAUGCCGGUGGAUACUGUCGAGCUCGAGUCCGGAAGAGGCGAGUGGAAUUCCUGGUGUAGCGGUGGAAUGCGCAGAUAUCAGGAGGAACACCAACGGCGAAGGCAGCUCGCUGGGACGGUACUGACACUGAGGCGCGAAAGCGUGGGGAGCGAACAGG